RNAcentral lists this ribosomal RNA (301 nucleotides) under uncultured bacterium. RNAcentral's name for it is "partial 16S ribosomal RNA". It matches the Rfam family "Bacterial small subunit ribosomal RNA", at positions 509 to 807 of the family's 1533-position model. The record is from RNAcentral.
CAGCAGCCGCGGGAACACGUAGGGCGCAAGCGUUGUCCGGAAUUAUUGGGCGUAAAGAGCUCGUAGGCGGUCUGUCGCGUCUGGUGUGAAAUCCCGAGGCUCAACCUCGGGCUUGCAUCGGGUACGGGCAGACUAGAGUGCGGUAGGGGAGACUGGAAUUCCUGGUGUAGCGGUGGAAUGCGCAGAUAUCAGGAGGAACACCGAUGGCGAAGGCAGGUCUCUGGGCCGCAACUGACGCUGAGGAGCGAAAGCAUGGGGAGCGAACAGGAUUAGAUACCCCAGUAGUCCCUGUCUCUUAUAC